RNAcentral lists this ribosomal RNA (279 nucleotides) under uncultured bacterium. RNAcentral's name for it is "partial 16S ribosomal RNA". It matches the Rfam family "Bacterial small subunit ribosomal RNA", at positions 506 to 784 of the family's 1533-position model. The record is from RNAcentral.
UGCCAGCCGCCGCGGUAACACGAACCGUACGAACGUUAUUCGGAAUCACUGGGCUUAAAGAGUGCGUAGGCGGCCUAGCAGGUUGGGUGUGAAAGCCCUCGGCUCAACCGAGGAAUUGCGCUCAAAACCGCUAGGCUUGAGUGAGAUAGGGGAAAGCGGAACUGAUGGUGGAGCGGUGAAAUGCGUUGAUAUCAUCAGGAACACCGGUGGCGAAGGCGGCUCACUGGGGGAUGACUGACGCUGAGGCACGAAAGCUAGGGGAGCGAACAGGAUUAGAUA